AUUGAACGCUGGCGGCAGGCCUAACACAUGCAAGUCGAACGGUAACAGGAAGCAGCUUGCUUCUUGCUGACGAGUGGCGGACGGGUGAGUAAUGUCUGGGAAACUGCCUGAUGGAGGGGGAUAACUACUGGAAACGGUAGCUAAUACCGCAUAACGUCGCAAGACCAAAGAGGGGGACCUUCGGGCCUCUUGCCAUCGGAUGUGCCCAGAUGGGAUUAGCUUGUGGUGGGGUAACGGCUCACCAGGCGACGAUCCCUAGCUGGUCUGAGAGGAUGACCAGCCACACUGGAACUGAGACACGGUCCAGACUCCUACGGGAGGCAGCAGUGGGGAAUAUUGCACAAUGGGCGCAAGCCUGAUGCAGCCAUGCCGCGUGUAUGAAGAAGGCCUUCGGGUUGUAAAGUACUUUCAGCGGGGAGGAAGGGAGUAAAGUUAAUACCUUUGCUCAUUGACGUUACCCGCAGAAGAAGCACCGGCUAACUCCGUGCCAGCAGCCGCGGUAAUACGGAGGGUGCAAGCGUUAAUCGGAAUUACUGGGCGUAAAGCGCACGCAGGCGGUUUGUUAAGUCAGAUGUGAAAUCCCCGGGCUCAACCUGGGAACUGCAUCUGAUACUGGCAAGCUUGAGUCUCGUAGAGGGGGGUAGAAUUCCAGGUGUAGCGGUGAAAU
Molecule: ribosomal RNA, 667 nt
Filed under: Shigella sp.
Lineage: Bacteria; Pseudomonadati; Pseudomonadota; Gammaproteobacteria; Enterobacterales; Enterobacteriaceae
Description: bacterial SSU rRNA
Rfam family: Bacterial small subunit ribosomal RNA
Source: RNAcentral